RNAcentral lists this ribosomal RNA (450 nucleotides) under uncultured bacterium. RNAcentral's name for it is "bacterial SSU rRNA". It matches the Rfam family "Bacterial small subunit ribosomal RNA", at positions 28 to 464 of the family's 1533-position model. The record is from RNAcentral.
GAUGAACGCUAGCUACAGGCUUAACACAUGCAAGUCGAGGGGAAACGAUAUUGGAAGCUUGCUUCCGAUAGGCGUCGACCGGCGCACGGGUGAGUAACGCGUAUCCAACCUGCCCACCACUUGGGGAUAACCUUGCGAAAGUAAGACUAAUACCCAAUGACGUCUCUAGAAGACAUCUGAAAGAGAUUAAAGAUUUAUCGGUGAUGGAUGGGGAUGCGUCUGAUUAGCUUGUUGGCGGGGCAACGGCCCACCAAGGCUACGAUCAGUAGGGGUUCUGAGAGGAAAGCCCCCCACAUUGGAACUGAGACACGGUCCGAAACUCCUACGGGAGGCAGCAGUGAGGAAUAUUGGUCAAUGGGCGAGAGCCUGAACCAGCCAAGUAGCGUGCAGGAUGACGGCCCUAUGGGUUGUAAACUGCUUUUAUGCGGGGAUAAAGCGGGCGACGUGUCG